UGGAAUUGGCUCCAGCUGACCCCUGUGACCCUGUGUUAGGAUAUAGCGGGUUGGACAAUGACUGACUGACAACAGCCCACCAUGCUGAUACCCAAUAAGGCUGCAAGUAAGGGAUUUUAAAGUUUUGCGUGUUUAAUCUGCUGUAGUUUGUAUGAUUUUACAGGAUUCUUUAUUAAUUCUAUCAAUAGACAGCUCAGAAGGAAAAGAGUACAAAACACAGUGUUGAAUAGUCAUUGGCCUGGGGGAGUUUCCUUCCACUAGAAACACUUUGUUUUCAGAACAAUUAAAAUUCUAACGACCAUUAAUAUGGUGAAAAAGUGGAGAAAACUGAUUUUUCAGAAAGGAGACAGCAGAACAGAAAACAAAAAUAUUAGUAAACUCCCAUAGCAUAUUGAGAAAAUUACCAGGAAUCCCAAGGACACAGGAAUGCCACAAAGGAGCAAACCCUGGACCCAACUAGUGAUGCCUUCUAAUAUUAAGUUCAAACUAGGUGAACCCAACUAAAAAGUAAGGAUGUUGAAGACAUGAGAGUUUAACCUUCAGAUCAUCAGCUUGUAGACCAUUGUAAGAGUGAGCAUAGAAACAAGACAUAUGGGGUUCAUCCUGCAUCACCAAAGUCUUACUCAUGCAGAAUCUUCGUGGCAGACAGGAGUUUUAAGAUAUUUUGUCCAAACUCUUCUCAAGAAACACAAGGAAAUGGGCAAAGUUGAGAACCAGAGGUGUAGUCCAGGGAAACGAGGUGCAUCCGACAAGAAAUAAUAUAAAAACUGACAAUUCUUUGAAAUCCAUUGGUAUCAGCUCUGAACUUAUAGUGUCUACUGCAACCCAAGUACAACAUUCUAUAAUAUAGAGAGGUCUUCUCAGAGUUGCUUCUGAAAAGCCAUUUGUGGAAGAGGAGGCAAAAAUCUCACCUACUCAGAAAAACAGGGAGGAAGUUUGUCUGCAGAAUAGCUGGGCAGUGCUAAAUGGUUGAGUUUAAACAGCCAAUGAAACCCAGUAGAUGUUCUCUGUAGUUUUGGGGUGCAUUUCUGCAAAUGGAGCUGAUCAUCUAGUCAGAAUUAAUGGAAUCCUCAACACUGAGAAGUAAAAACAAACUCUCAGACAUCAGGGCAAUGACCCCAAACACAUUGGCAAGGUCAUAAAUGACUAUUUUCAGCAUAAAGAAGAGCAAGGAGUUCUGCAACAGAUGAACCGGUCUCUACAGAGCCCUGAUCUCAACAUUAGUAAGGCUGCCUAGUAUUACAUGAGUGGCAGAAGCAAAUGAGACAGCCAAAGUCUGCAGACGAACUGGGCCAAGUUGUCAAAGAUGACUGAAACAAACUUCAGCCAAUUUUAAUUUAAAACUGUGCAAGAGUGUACAGUAUCUAAGGGAAUUGAAGGUUAGUUGCACCAAAUAUUGAUUGAUGUAGUUUUUGUAUUAUUAUUUACUGCUCUUAUAAUAAAUGUUUUGAAAUGUG
Molecule: long non-coding RNA, 1457 nt
Organism: Polypterus senegalus (gray bichir)
Lineage: Eukaryota; Metazoa; Chordata; Cladistia; Polypteriformes; Polypteridae
Exons: 2
Source: RefSeq, a predicted model, not a curated record